Molecule: small RNA, 27 nt
Filed under: Bombyx mori (domestic silkworm)
Lineage: Eukaryota; Metazoa; Arthropoda; Insecta; Lepidoptera; Bombycidae
Description: ovarian small RNA-35685
Source: RNAcentral
UGUCCGAAUUGGUGUCCGAGUUGGUUU